RNAcentral lists this long non-coding RNA (311 nucleotides) under Trifolium pratense (red clover). RNAcentral's name for it is "long non-coding RNA (TPRA_LNC007914)". The record is from RNAcentral. Lineage: Eukaryota; Viridiplantae; Streptophyta; Magnoliopsida; Fabales; Fabaceae.
AAAAACUUUGUGGUAAUGUCAUAAGCACUUAAUUUUUUCUCGAAAGUGAUGUCAUCAACACCAAUUUCAUGAGUAUACGACAGAAGAUUCGUAUCUUCUAGGAGAUCAGCUACAAAGUCAGACCCAACACGCGAUUUAUAUAAUUUGAAUUUCAUAGGAGGUUCAAAUUUUGGUGGAUCUAUAACUGCACGAAACCUAUCCCUUAAAAUUAUACCAAAUUGUCCUCUUCCGGUGUAUACCAAUGUAACCCAAGCCUCGAUACGGUUGAUAUUGUAAAAAUCUUUUAAAGCAUACCAGCCAUGCGUUAGAUA